This 428-nucleotide ribosomal RNA is filed under the name uncultured archaeon. RNAcentral's name for it is "bacterial SSU rRNA". It matches the Rfam family "Archaeal small subunit ribosomal RNA", at positions 474 to 903 of the family's 1478-position model. The record is from RNAcentral.
UACCAGCUCUCCGAGUUGUAGGGAUGAUUAUUGGGCUUAAAGCGUCCGUAGCUGGCUUAGCAAGUCUCCUGUUAAAUUCAGCGACCUAAUCGUUGAGCCGCGGGAGAUACUACUAGGCUAGGAGGCGGGAGAGGUCGACGGUACUUUCGGGGUAGGGGUGAAAUCCUAUAAUCCCGGGAGGACCACCAGUGGCGAAGGCUGUCGACUAGAACGCGCUCGACGGUGAGGGACGAAAGCUGGGGGAGCGAACCGGAUUAGAUACCCGGGUAGUCCAGCUGUAAACUAUGCGGGCUAGGUGUUGGGGUGGCUACGGGCCACUUCAGUGCCGCAGGAAAGCCAUUAAGCCCGCCGCCUGGGGAGUACGGCCGCAAGGCUGAAACUUAAAGGAAUUGGCGGGGGAGCACCACAAGGCGUGAAGCUUGCGGUUC